This 254-nucleotide ribosomal RNA is filed under the name uncultured bacterium. RNAcentral describes it as "partial 16S ribosomal RNA". It matches the Rfam family "Bacterial small subunit ribosomal RNA", at positions 524 to 776 of the family's 1533-position model. The record is from RNAcentral.
GACGUAGGGCGCGAGCGUUGUCCGGAUUUAUUGGGCGUAAAGAGCUCGUAGGCGGCUUGUUGCGUCGACUGUGAAAACCUGCGGCUCAACCGUGUGGUCUGCAGUCGAUACGGGCAGGCUGGAGUUCGGUAGGGGAGACUGGAAUUCCUGGUGUAGCGGUGAAAUGCGCAGAUAUCAGGAGGAACACCGGUGGCGAAGGCGGCAUCCUGGACCAACACUGACACUGAGGAGCGAAAGCCAGGGGAGCAAACGGG